UGCAUUAACUACUGUAAGUCGCUCUGGAUAAGAGCGUCUGCUAAAUGACAAAUG
This is a non-coding RNA of Salmo salar (Atlantic salmon), 54 nucleotides long. NCBI's taxonomy places the organism in Eukaryota, Metazoa, Chordata, Actinopteri, Salmoniformes, Salmonidae. The record is from Rfam.